Molecule: ribosomal RNA, 254 nt
Filed under: uncultured bacterium
Lineage: Bacteria
Description: partial 16S ribosomal RNA
Rfam family: Bacterial small subunit ribosomal RNA
Source: RNAcentral
UACAGAGGGUGCAAGCGUUAUCCGGAUUUAUUGGGCGUAAAGCGUUUCGUAGGUGGUUUUGUAAGUUAAACUUCAAAGACUCGGGCUUAACCCGGGGAAGGGGUUUAAUACUGCAAGACUAGAGAAUUUUAGGGGCAAUCGGAACUGUUGGUGUAGGGGUGAAAUCCGUUGAUAUCAACAGGAACGUCAAGGGCGUAGGCAGAUUGCUGGGAAAUUUCUGACACUGAGGAACGAAAGCUAGGGGAGCGAAAGGG